UGUCAAUACUGUCCUGGGAGAGUUGAAGAGACAGGAAAACCUGCUGCUUGUUGGGUUUGCAUCCGCUUUUCAGAAGUUCUGCUUGAGCAGGCGCCUCUCCUGCCUGAUAAGAUCUCACCGAGUGCUUAUCUGAUAAGUGGCAGCUGCUGCCGACUUACGUUUAAUUGACAAUUUCUUGUCAACUAAACUGAAGUGCAUUAUCAGAAAACUCUUGGGACUUUCAUUCACAAUUUAACACACUGACCCGGACUCUGAGCUUGCUGGUGGAAUGCAUUUGUUUAGCAGCUGCAAAUCCGCAAAGCCAAGCAAUCGCCUCCUCAUUAACUGAGUUCAAAAUUAUUAAUCCACCUCUUUGUUUGUAGACAGGGCACUCCUUGGUGAUGUGUAGCAUUGUUUGCAUCUCUCCACAAGUUCAUGAUGAGUUGGCACGGAGGCGCCAGCUGUGAAGGUUGGCUGUGCAGAGGCCUUGGCCUGUCCUGAACCUGUUUAGCAGCGACCACUCUCACGGAGAAUACCACUGACCCUAGAGGAUAUCCCACCUCUCUCUCUCUACUUCAAUGAGUACCUCUAAUUUCUGCGGGUUUUUUUGCAUUAUGUUUAUUAUUAUUUUUAAGAACCCCAAAUUAUAAAGAAAAUAGAGGAGAAAUCUUGAAUUAAAAAUUACAUCACUAUGAAACCAUUUUUGGUUUGGUGUGACUCAUAACACCUCACUUAAAAAUAUAUCCUGCUGUCACAUUAAAUUCAGUGGCAAAGACAUGGGAACCAUAACCCAGGCUAACAUUUUGGAAAGAGAAGAACCACGUGUUGCAUUUUUACAGUCAGCCUUAGACUGUCUUAUGCUAAAAACAGUCUCAUGAGGAUGGAAGAACUCUGAGAAAUAUAUACAAAGUGGAAACUUGAGAUUUUCAUUUUAUUGAAGGAUGCCAACUGAAGGAAAACAUCCUUGUUCCCCGAACAGCAGGCAAAGACAUUAACACCUGAGAUUCUAUUUAACCCUUUUUAUGGCUGUUUCACUUCUGUACCUUAACUGAAUGUGGUAGGACAUUUUAGUACAUUCUUCACAUACUGGGAUGUCUGCAGUAAAAUGGAAGCAAGCUUACAGAAUAAGGCAGCCCUAGAACUGCAUUUUGCAAUGGCCAAUAUAUUAAGCAAUACCCAAGGGGUUACAAGCAAGAAGUCAGUGAUCCGGGACUCCAUUUCUUCAUAGUUAAAAAUACAAGUGCAUAUUUCUCUAGUGUGUAUUACAGCCUGGCACCCAGCAACCACACCACCCAACUUAUCAAUGCAAAUAAACAAGAGCCUUUAUCAAACCAGAACUGCGUCCAACAGAAUUUCUCUAAACAUGUACAUAUGACAAAUCUGUGCUCACAGGGCUCUGAAACAGAGCCAAAAUAAGUCUCUGUCUCCUCCCUGCAUGCACUGAGGAGCUUUAACCCUCCAAGGAGAGAAAACUAGCUGAGAGAAUCUCUGCUUUUCUAUGAAAUGCAUGGACUGUUAUUGUCUCUGGCCUCCCUGCAAAGUCAGCAUGGAAGGGGACUCUCCUAACCUACCUACAUACGUGACAGCCACAACCCAGACCCCAGUGUCUGUAUUAACACCAGGCUCAAGUCAUUCCAACCUCAGGUCCACUGCACUGAGCUGACGCUAUCUAAGACGAAGAGGAACCACACAGAAAUUUACAGAAGAAUCUAAUCUUCCUCGCAGUUCAAAGGGAUUUGGAAUAUGCCAUCCUCCUAAUUUCAGCACUGAUCUGAAGAUGUAAAUGACUGCAAUAUCAUUCUCAUGAAAUUCAUUUCCUCUAACUCCUGCCCAGCUGGUAAGUUUCUGUCUGCUUAAGACCUCGUGAUCUACUGUUAUUCAGGAACUUUGCCACAUUACAUUGCAUUUACCGGUCACAUUUUACUCAGCUGUCUUCUCCAAUUGAGGUUGUCAAGCAGACGAUUAUAAACAGGAACUAAGUCCUAUAGGUAACAUUGUCUACGCACUUAAAACCACAGUGAAGUCACUCAGCAUUGACAUGAGAACCUGUUGUUAGGUUCAGAGAUGCAGGUGGCUCAUGAGCAGAAUCUGCUGCAAGAAGAGCAAAUUCAGAGUUUUAUUUAAAAUACAUUGUCCAGAAUUUGGAGAACAAAGAUAGCUGGGACUAAAUCUACCUUUCAAGUGGUAGGAAAUCUCUCUGAAAUCAAUGAUAAGAUAAUUAUUUCAAUUGACAUAAGAUCAGAAUAUUAAUUCUUCCAAGUCACUUUUCUGCAAACUGUGCUCAAAGAUUAUGGGUCCAUUGGACAAACUGUUCAUCUGCCUGGGUAAAAUUUUCCCACUGGCUGUAACAAGGCCUAUAAUUUACUUAAGUGAAGUCACGUGCUGGUCCUGUGCAGAGGGGUGAUUUUCACCACAGAAGCAAGAAGCUUUGCAUAUUCACGUUCCACCGACUUAAAAACCACAAUUUUCCCUGUAGCACUCUUCCAUCUCCCCCCACCCAGAAAAGAUCCAAAAAUAAAAACUCUGUAGUUCUUCCUUAUGGGUAUGGAUUUUCUUUUUAGGGUAGCACGUCAUACUGCCACCCAUCAACGUAUCUAAAUACAAAUUCCCUGAAUAAACUGAGAAAGCAGAAGAUUUUAUAGUGUAUUUAUAAAGUGCAAAAACAGCACUGCAGUAACUAAACAUAUCUGGCCCACACAAAUUCUUGAAGAACCAGGGUCAGACACAGAUCUCUGUCACCCAUGUUAAGCGCAAGUAAGCUCGACUGGAGUUUUUCUGAAUUUCCAUUGCCAUAAAGAUGAGAAUCUGGUCAACAAUACUUCGUAAACCCUAUAAUCCUGCUUUUCUUCACUAUCCUAGUUCACACUGCCAAACCAGAAUUUAGCCUACACCAAAUGCAGAGAUUGAUGCUUGUGAGGGCUGAGUCAUCAGUAGGUUUCUGCUUUGUAACGGACAGCUAUUUUUAAUUUAUUUUUGUUCCAUCUUUAAAUGCAAUGCUUCAGCAAUAUGCUGAAGGUGAGAUUUUAGUCAUAUAUGCUGUUGUUCAUUAUCUAUAACCUUGCACCAUAACUCGUGAUGAACCAAAACGAACUGGAAACUGGAGGCCCCUUUAAACAUAAAAAAUAAAGAUCGUACAAGAAUGUGCAAACACAUCAGGUUAAUGUGAUGUGUUAUAUUGAAUUUCUCAUAAUGGUGAUUAAGAGGUGCUAUGAACUAGCAUUUUCUUUCUCUUUAUUCUGUCACCAAAACUUCAGCUGCUCCCUGACAAAGCGUUAUCUUUCCAUCCAAUUAUACAACAUUCAGUUGCACUCAAAACAUUGAUUUAAAUCUAACUUCCCUGCUUUCUGAUAUAUAUCAGAAUUAAGCCUGUGGUUUAAAUCAUCCAUUUCAUUUUUCAGUUGUACUUUUUAGUUAUUUUCCUAAAGAUAGGUUGAUUCUCAUAGGUUGAUAAUAAAAGAAUGCUGAUUUUUAACUAAAGCUAUCACCUUCAGCGUAGUCUCCUUCUUUUUGCUAAUCACACAAACACCAUUUAUCUAGUUACAUUUAUGUAAGCAAUUAUACAAUGUAACAUACAUUUUACUGAUUCUUAAUGUUUACAUUUUUAUUGUCAGAAAAUGAUGAAUAAUAUGUUCUAAGUGAUGAUUAAUUUUUUACUUGCAGUUUGCAUCAAGCUCUAUUUUGAUGGAAAGUGGAAUUGGAUUAAGAAAGCACCAAAUCAGCAUUUACAUUUUUUCUCAGUUAAAACUAUGUUGUAUGUGCUGGAUACCUACAGAAAAGGUAACUGUUGCAAAAUGUUUUUUGCAUUUUAAAUUCAUUGAUCACCAAGUUCUUCAAGGUUUCAGAACUACAAAAUCCUGUCCUCUCAUGUCAUGCUUUUAUUCAUAGUUUGGAAUAGAAAAUAGAGGCUUUCCUGAUUUUUUCAACUCAUAAUCAGUUUCUCAACUUUGAAAGAAACAGUCAUUGAGGAACUUAACUAGCUGACUACGCUAUACUGAACAAGAUAUUCUCUCUGAACCUGCAGAAGGAGCUUACUGCUGUCAAAAGCUGGUUGAACACUUAACCAAACUCUGGUUCCAGAAGCUUCACAAAUUACUUCCACCAGGAUGUCAUUUCAAGAAUUUCACUUUCUUUAAACUAAAGUAAAAAUUAAGACAUAAGUAUUUGAUUUUUUUAAUGAGUUUAGUAGAUUAUAGUAACUGUAUGCAUUCAUAUAGGUUGUCAUAAAUAUAAAUUAUAAAUAAGUUGCUUAUAUAAAAUUAAAGCGUGUAUUUAAUUUACAUUUAAAAAUCCCAUUACAAAUAAAAGUUAAUUGAAAUAAAAUAUCUGGCACUUUUUAAGUUUGAUUUUGUUAUCUGUGUUGGCUUCACUGAAUAUUAUUUAAUAUUUUACACUAAUAAAGUGCCUGAGGGCCAAAAUCAACAUCUGGGAACCGAGGAACAGGCCUCUGUCCAAACAUAUACAAGCAAGACAUGGUCCAUAAAUCUUAAAAGUCUAACUCCGGGUCUUGGAAGCACACAUAUAUAUAUAUAGUCACCAUUUUGUGAGAGGGGAGGGAAAAGAGAAUAUUAAGACAAGUAGCCAACAGGCUUCAGGGGCAUGGUGAAGCUGACAAAAAAAAUAGCCAGGGAAUGGGCAGGAGAAUUGGUCCUAGUGGAAAGACCAAGAAUGUAGGGGUAGCUGCGUUCAGCUUAAAUGGAUGGCGAUACAUCUGAGAAACAGGUUGAGAUGCAAUAUGGGAUGGACAGGGACAAGGAAUGGAGAAGCUGUGAACCAUCUCACAGCAUAAAGAUGGCAGACCAAACCAAGUGGAAGAGAUCACCCAGAGAGAGGGCAUGGAGAGAUGAGAUAUUAUUGGUAUAAAAAGGGAAAAUAUCCACAAAGUCUUUUUUCAACAUAACAUUUAAGGAAUUCAGAAUUCCCCGGCUCUCAACAGCUGGCACAUUUUACUCUAUAGGGUCAUAUAAGACUAUAGGGAGAUUUUCUCCCUUUUGUUUAUGUUCCUGAUAUAUAUUUACAUCUGCAAAUCCAAAUGAAUAUAGUUUGUGAGACUCGCACCCAGCCUGUUAAUCCCUGUGUUUGGCCCAGCUAGCUUCUUUUACGUUCUGUAUUGCAAAACCAUGACCUUUCUGAAUAACACAGCACUCCAUAAAAAGCCAAAAAAGUAACAGAAGAAAAGCAGAGCCAAAACCAAACUCCAGAUCCAAAUGCUUCCAUCCAACUGGAAGUUGGAUCUGAAUUCUGCAGGUGCUUCUUAACUGAGCUUGCAUCAAAGUACUCCUGAUUCUGGGGGUAACCGGAGGUUAACUUCACACCUGGCAACAUGAGACCAUUUCUAGAGAGUCCAGGUAACAGCAUGGCACGCUCAUCAGUCCCCAUGCCUGCCAGAAGGAAAAAUGCCUUCAGGCCACACAAAUCUACACCGUUCAAGUGAUUGAAUUUGAUUGUGAUUGUUCAAGUGAUUGUAUUUUGAAAACAUUUUUCCUGGGAUGGUUUUACCUUCCUCACCAGUGGCUGUUGGGUUACCAAGGCACUGUGGCAGCUACAGACAAACGCACACACGUGCAACACAACUGCUUUCACUAAUGCACUGAAACCCGUUGGACACUUUGUCCAGCCCAGCACCAGGCAAAACCUCACUCAGGAACCACCAAAACUUGCUGAAUGGACGGAAGAGAGAGAAACUGGAGACCUCCUGUCUGCACACACAGACUGCAAAGAGGAGCUUUAGAAGUGGAAUAUAUUUAACCCCAUGACUGCCUAAACCAUUUCUAUUAAAACCACCAAAUAUCCUGAGUGACUGAAACGGCAAGAAUUACACCCAGUUCCUGUGGGUAACAUGCACACUUUAACCAGAUCAAAAUCUUGAAAGCAACCCCGGUUGAAUGAGAAAAACAAGAAAAACUGUGUCACUUGUAAUAACCAUUUUUCUUUCCUGCUUCCUUCACUACAGACAGCAAAUACAAGGCCAAGCUUUCCUCAGGCUGACUUUAAGUUUGGUCUGAAGCUGUCAUUUGCUUGCACAAGCAAGCAUGAAUUUUCUUUUCUAGUCUUUCCCCCCUUCCCCACUUCACUGCAGCAAGAAAACCUAACCUUUUUAGGCUCUGUUCACCCCCACCCUUACAUUUCAGCUACCCCCUCAUAAAAAAAAGACAAGGUGUCCAGCAGAAAAUAAAGACAAGCUGUUAAGCUCUAGCCCUGCCAGCCUUCACUGCACCUCUCCUCUCAGCCCAGCCCCCUGCCAGCAAGGACCACUGGGAAUAAAGGGUCGCGCCUCAAUGCGUCACAGCCUCUCAGGUAAGAGGCCCCAGGGACGCAGACUGUAGCCACAGGCAAAAGGAAUCCCAACUCGUGGCAGAGGCUACCAGUAUUCUGACGUUUGUGCCUUGGGAAUCUUGGCUGAAAGGCACUGAAGACAUCCCGUUUUAAUUGCUGAACCUUGCCCCAAAUAGAAACUACAGAGCAGAGAAAAGUGACUGAUAAUGAGAACACUGAUGCAGGGAUGGAUGUGCCUUCAGCUAAAGAGAAUUAAAAUCUAGGUUUUAGCCCCGUCACUGCAUCAGAUUCAUUGUGUGAACUGAGGUAAGUCACUUAAAUUUCCCGAGCCUCCUUCUUUCUGUCUGCAGAGUGGAUGUUACUAAUGCAUGGGUUCUUGGGAACAUUCCUAUAUUGACUGUAGACAGCUCUUUCAAGAUCCUUGGUUGGAAGUUGCAAUGUUCAACCUAUUACUGAUUGUCCUUCAAGUCUUUGUACCGCUAGGUGGCAACCUAAGCUUUGCGAAGUUAUGGUUAGAUUGAAUUUUGUGCUAGACACUAUAAGAGACAAGAACAAAGUACAGUCUGUGUGAUCUGGCAGCAAUACUACUUGAGUCCUGAUGUUGAUACAUAAAGUCAAGAACCAAAACCUUCAUUUAGUCAUUUUGGGCAUAAACAUCAGGCAACAUCAUAACUUGAAGACAACUAAUAGAAGAAAAUUGCAAGAUGACCCACAGAAGUCAAUCAGCCCUCUGGCCACUGCAACCAUUUUGAAGAUGCUGCUGCUGCUCCUGUACAGUGGGCUAAGGUAAUAAGUUUGCCAAAGUUGGAGUGGAUUGUGCUGUGUUCAUUACGCUAUUUCCAUUGUUUUUCAGGAGGAGUGUUUCUAUGGGACUUUUAAGACUUUGUUUUUCCUUUCACCUACUUUCAAUGAUGAGCUGCACUUGGCAAUCUUUCAGUCAUUGUUAAGCUUAACUAUACAAAGCAGCAAAUGCGGAAUUCUGUCUCCCAAAAUACAGUCUGUUAUCUGUUAUCUUUUGAACAAGUUGUCUCAAUUAAAUGGCGGCUUUUCAGCUGAGUGCUUUGUCAUUAAUCAAUGAGAGUUUUCCUCCCAAAUA
Long non-coding RNA from Alligator sinensis (Chinese alligator), 7348 nucleotides. RefSeq lists it as uncharacterized. The record is from RefSeq and is a predicted model, not a curated record. The transcript has 3 exons. NCBI's taxonomy places the organism in Eukaryota, Metazoa, Chordata, Crocodylia, Alligatoridae.